UGUUACGUGUUUGACCAGCACAGGGGUC
RNAcentral lists this non-coding RNA (28 nucleotides) under Homo sapiens (human). Lineage: Eukaryota; Metazoa; Chordata; Mammalia; Primates; Hominidae. The record is from RNAcentral.